GCCAGCAGCCAUGUCACCCUGCAACUCACAACUGGCAACCCACUGAAUCUAAACAGGUGCGAGCCUGGUCAGUACCUGGAUGGGAGAUUUCCUGGGAAAAGCUAAGGUUGCUGCUGGAA
RNAcentral lists this ribosomal RNA (119 nucleotides) under Lepisosteus oculatus (spotted gar). The record is from RNAcentral. Lineage: Eukaryota; Metazoa; Chordata; Actinopteri; Semionotiformes; Lepisosteidae.